GUUGUAUAGUCAAGUAAUUAAGUGCAUGUGGUGGAUGCCUUGGCAGUCAGAGGCGAUGAAAGACGUGAUAGCCUGCGAAAAGCUCCGGGGAGGCGGCAAAUAUCCUUUGAUCCGGAGAUGUCUGAAUGGGGGAACCCACCUACUUUAAGGUAGGUAUUGCAACAUGAAUACAUAGUGUUGCAAGGCGAACGAGGGGAAGUGAAACAUCUCAGUACCCUUAGGAAAAGAAAUCAAUUGAGAUUCCCUCAGUAGCGGCGAGCGAACGGGGAUCAGCCCAUUAAGUUAUGUGUGUUUUAGUGGAACGCUCUGGGAAGUGCGAACGUAGAGGGUGAUAUUCCCGUACACGAAAGGGCACACAUAAUGAUGACGAGUAGGGCGAGGCACGUGAAACCUUGUCUGAAUAUGGGGGGACCAUCCUCCAAGGCUAAAUACUCCUGACUGACCGAUAGUGAACCAGUACCGUGAGGGAAAGGCGAAAAGAACCCCUGUGAGGGGAGUGAAAUAGAUCCUGAAACCGCAUGCAUACAAGCAGUGGGAGCACCUUCGUGGUGUGACUGCGUACCUUUUGUAUAAUGGGUCAGCGACUUAUAUUCAGUAGCAAGGUUAACCGUAUAGGGGAGCCGUAGAGAAAUCGAGUCUUAAUAGGGCGUUUAGUUGCUGGGUAUAGACCCGAAACCAGGCGAUCUAUCCAUGAGCAGGUUGAAGGUUGGGUAACACUAACUGGAGGACCGAACCCACUGUCGUUGAAAAGCCAGGGGAUGACUUGUGGAUAGGGGUGAAAGGCUAAUCAAGCCUGGUGAUAGCUGGUUCUCCCCGAAAGCUAUUUAGGUAGCGCCUCGGACGAAUACCAUAGGGGGUAGAGCACUGUUUCGGCUAGGGGGUCAUCCCGACUUACCAAACCGAUGCAAACUCCGAAUACCUAUGAGUACUAUCCGGGAGACAGACUGCGGGUGCUAACGUCCGUAGUCAAGAGGAAAACAAUCCAGACCGCCAGCUAAGGCCCCAAAAUCAUAGUUAAGUGGGAAACGAUGUGGGAAGGCAUAGACAGCUAGGAGGUUGGCUUANNNNNNNNNNNNNNNNNNNNGAAGCAGCCACCCUUUAAAGAAAGCGUAAUAGCUCACUAGUCGAGUCGGCCUGCGCGGAAGAUGUAACGGGGCUAAAACUAUGUGCCGAAGCUGCGGAUGUAUACUUUGUAUACGUGGUAGGGGAGCGUUCUGUAAGCCGAUGAAGGUGUGUUGAGAAGCAUGCUGGAGGUAUCAGAAGUGCGAAUGCUGACGUGAGUAACGACAAAACGGGUGAAAAACCCGUUCGCCGAAAGACCAAGGGUUCCAGUCCAACGUUAA
Molecule: ribosomal RNA, 1343 nt
Filed under: Acinetobacter baumannii
Lineage: Bacteria; Pseudomonadati; Pseudomonadota; Gammaproteobacteria; Moraxellales; Moraxellaceae
Description: bacterial LSU rRNA
Rfam family: Bacterial large subunit ribosomal RNA
Source: RNAcentral